Molecule: long non-coding RNA, 629 nt
Organism: Ornithorhynchus anatinus (platypus)
Lineage: Eukaryota; Metazoa; Chordata; Mammalia; Monotremata; Ornithorhynchidae
Exons: 3
Source: RefSeq, a predicted model, not a curated record
CAGGUAGGUGGGAACUCUUAAGCCAGGCAAAGAUGUGUCAGUUCUGUGGGGAAAGUAGAAGGGUGAUCCAUGGCACUAGAUAGAUGUCCCUUCUUCCUUAGAAAUUUCUAUCUCUCUUUCUCUCUCUUUCUCUCCCCUAGCUCCCAGGAGACCUGAUGUGUCCCAGGUCCAGACUGAUACUUUGCAAGGUAUAUUUCACAGUGUGGACAGCCACCUUGGAAUAAUGGGCCAAGUAGAAGGCAGCUUCGCCUUCUUUGGAUUUCCAUGGACUCUGUACCUCCUAGAAAACAUAUUCAUCCUAAACUGACCUGGUUUAUUCAGAGGUAAAUCUUCAACCACUUGGACAAUAGGCAGUGAGCUGUCACUGCUCAGAACUGAGGCUCCUGGAUGAAGAGCCCUCCAGAUGUUGGCCUCCUCUACCUACUUCUUACACCAACAGUCCUUCCCCGGAAGCUGAAUGGGACAGAAGCAGGGAGGAGAGAAGCAGCACGGCCUAGUGGAAAGGGCCCAGGCUUGGGAGCCGGAGAAUCUGGAUUCCAACUCUGGCUCCACCAACCAUCUGCCGUGUGACCUUGGGCAAGCGGCAACACUUCUCUGGACCUCAGUCACUUCAUUUGUAAAAUGGGGGA